Molecule: ribosomal RNA, 550 nt
Filed under: uncultured bacterium
Lineage: Bacteria
Description: bacterial SSU rRNA
Rfam family: Bacterial small subunit ribosomal RNA
Source: RNAcentral
UAGGGAAUCUUCGGCAAUGGACGGAAGUCUGACCGAGCAACGCCGCGUGAGUGAAGAAGGUUUUCGAAUCGUAAAGCUCUGUUGUAAGAGAAGAACGAGUGUGAGAGUGGAAAGUUCACACUGUGACGGUAACUUACCAGAAAGGGACGGCUAACUACGUGCCAGCAGCCGCGGUAAUACGUAGGUCCCGAGCGUUAUCCGGAUUUAUUGGGCGUAAAGCGAGCGCAGGCGGUUAGAUAAGUCUGAAGUUAAAGGCUGUGGCUUAACCAUAGUACGCUUUGGAAACUGUUUAACUUGAGUGCAGAAGGGGAGAGUGGAAUUCCAUGUGUAGCGGUGAAAUGCGUAGAUAUAUGGAGGAACACCGGUGGCGAAAGCGGCUCUCUGGUCUGUAACUGACGCUGAGGCUCGAAAGCGUGGGGAGCAAACAGGAUUAGAUACCCUGGUAGUCCACGCCGUAAACGAUGAGUGCUAGGUGUUGGGUCCUUUCCGGGACUCAGUGCCGCAGCUAACGCAUUAAGCACUCCGCCUGGGGAGUACGACCGCAAGGUUG